AUUGCAAUUUUCAUUAAUCCCUAUUAGGGAUUGAAAC
Molecule: non-coding RNA, 37 nt
Organism: Anabaena cylindrica PCC 7122
Lineage: Bacteria; Bacillati; Cyanobacteriota; Cyanophyceae; Nostocales; Nostocaceae
Source: Rfam